This 1225-nucleotide ribosomal RNA is filed under the name uncultured Gammaproteobacteria bacterium. RNAcentral's name for it is "partial 16S ribosomal RNA". It matches the Rfam family "Bacterial small subunit ribosomal RNA", at positions 284 to 1501 of the family's 1533-position model. The record is from RNAcentral. Lineage: Bacteria; Pseudomonadati; Pseudomonadota; Gammaproteobacteria.
UAGCUGGUCUGAGAGGAUGAUCAGCCACAUCGGGACUGAGACACGGCCCGAACUCCUACGGGAGGCAGCAGUGGGGAAUAUUGGACAAUGGGGGCAACCCUGAUCCAGCAAUACCGCGUGUGUGAAGAAGGCCUGAGGGUUGUAAAGCACUUUCAAUUGUGAAGAAAAGUUAGCGGUUAAUAACCGUUAGCCUUGACGUUAACUUUAGAAGAAGCACCGGCUAACUCCGUGCCAGCAGCCGCGGUAAUACGGAGGGUGCAAGCGUUAAUCGGAAUUACUGGGCGUAAAGCGUGCGUAGGCGGUUUAUUAAGUCAGAUGUGAAAGCCCCGGGCUUAACCUGGGAACUGCAUUUGAAACUGGUCAACUAGAGUAUGGUAGAGGAAAGUGGAAUUUCUGGUGUAGCGGUGAAAUGCGUAGAUAUCAGAAGGAACAUCAAUGGCGAAGGCAGCUUUCUGGACCAAUACUGACGCUGAGGUACGAAAGCGUGGGUAGCAAACAGGAUUAGAUACCCUGGUAGUCCACGCCGUAAACGAUGAUAACUAGCCGUUGGGGGGAUUUACCCUUUAGUGGCGAAGCUAACGCGUUAAGUUAUCCGCCUGGGGAGUACGGCCGCAAGGUUAAAACUCAAAGGAAUUGACGGGGACCCGCACAAGCGGUGGAGCAUGUGGUUUAAUUCGAUGCAACGCGAAGAACCUUACCUGGUCUUGACAUCCUGCGAACUUUCUAGAAAUAGAUUGGUGCCUUCGGGAACGCAGUGACAGGUGCUGCAUGGCUGUCGUCAGCUCGUGUCGUGAGAUGUUGGGUUAAGUCCCGUAACGAGCGCAACCCCUAUCCUUAUUUGCCAGCACAUUAUGGUGGGAACUAUAAGGAGACUGCCGGUGAUAAACCGGAGGAAGGCGGGGACGACGUCAAGUCAUCAUGGCCCUUACGACCAGGGCUACACACGUGCUACAAUGGGAAGGACAAAGAGCCGCGAAGCCGUGAGGUGUAGCUAAUCUCAGAAACCUUUUCGUAGUCCGGAUUGGAGUCUGCAACUCGACUCCAUGAAGUCGGAAUCGCUAGUAAUCGUAGAUCAGAAUGCUACGGUGAAUACGUUCCCGGGUCUUGUACACACCGCCCGUCAUACCAUGGGAGUGGGUUGCACCAGAAGUGGCUAGUCUAACUUUAUUGAGGACGGUCACCACGGUGUGAUUCAUGACUGGGGUAAAGUCGUAACAAGGUAACC